Molecule: ribosomal RNA, 253 nt
Filed under: uncultured bacterium
Lineage: Bacteria
Description: partial 16S ribosomal RNA
Rfam family: Bacterial small subunit ribosomal RNA
Source: RNAcentral
UACGAAGGGGGCUAGCGUUGCUCGGAAUCACUGGGCGUAAAGGGUGCGUAGGCGGGUCUUUAAGUCAGGGGUGAAAUCCUGGAGCUCAACUCCAGAACUGCCUUUGAUACUGAAGAUCUUGAGUUCGGGAGAGGUGAGUGGAACUCCGAGUGUAGAGGUGAAAUUCGUAGAUAUUCGGAAGAACACCAGUGGCGAAGGCGACUUACUGGACACAUAUUGACGCUGAGGUGCGAAAGCGUGGGGAGCAAACAGG